Oxyura jamaicensis (ruddy duck) is the source of this 972-nucleotide long non-coding RNA. RefSeq lists it as uncharacterized. The record is from RefSeq and is a predicted model, not a curated record. The transcript has 2 exons. NCBI's taxonomy places the organism in Eukaryota, Metazoa, Chordata, Aves, Anseriformes, Anatidae.
GUACAACUGUCGGUACUAAGUUUUGAGGGUUGAUGGUGAUCUGCAGAGCCAAAAUAUUUUGGAGCUAUUGACUUAAUCCUACUUUUGUCUAAUAAAACUGUACUCAGUGGCAGCCAGCAAUUCCGGCUGUCGUUCCCGAAAGUUACGCAGCUACAGAAGGGGAGCUAAGAAAGACCCGGGCAGGACCAGGCGAGGAGCACACACAUGCACAAGCGCUCUCCCACACGCACACUCUCACCCGGCAGCCCCGAUGCUGGCAAAUAGCGGCUGCCCUGCGCCCAGCAGCCCGGGGCAGCACGGUGGCUGCCUUGCCCCCCAUAGGAGUGGCCUGGCGACCCCCGCGGGGCAGCGUUCGGGCCGAGCCGAGCCAGGCCAAGCCGGGCCGAGCCGAGCCAGGCCAAGCCGGGCCGGGCCGAGCCGAGCCGAGACGCGCCGCACCUGCCGCCGGCUGCCCGCCGCGGCACAGGACAGCAGAGGUCGCCGCUGGCCCGGCUCUGGGCCCGGCACGGCACGGCACGGCGCGCACAAGGUGCUCCGGGGCUGCCCCCGCUGCGAGUCCCCGCCGCCGGGACCCCGCGGUGCCCCCUUUUGCCCCCCAAGAGGGUCCUGUCCCCCCUCUCGCCCCGGCCGAAGCCCUGCACCGCGCCCGUCGGGGGCCGUCGGGGGCCCCGCGCGAGUUGUGGUGCGCGGGGCAGCCGCAGCUUGCGGGAAGGCGGCUGCCAGGGUUAAAGGAGAGGGUGGGAAGGGAUGGAGGCUGCGGGGCGCUCCCUUGCCAAAGACAAUAAAUCGGCCAACCCUGACGUGUUUUGCUUAGCCCCGGGUGCUCCCUCCGCCGUGGGCAGUGCAGGGCCGUGCUGCGCCCCGCUGCAAGGCUCCGUGGGUGAAUCGGAGCUUGUGCGGGGAGGCGAAGCGCACAAAGGAGGCUUUCAGGCGCUGGCAGCGGCGCUCGGGGGAAGGGAGCUAAGGCAGAGC